RNAcentral lists this long non-coding RNA (1363 nucleotides) under Bos indicus x Bos taurus (hybrid cattle). Its description in RNAcentral is "lncRNA (ENSBIXG00000003492.1)". Lineage: Eukaryota; Metazoa; Chordata; Mammalia; Artiodactyla; Bovidae. The record is from RNAcentral.
AUGGAGGCACACGCCAGCCCCACUGGGCACGGGCCCUGGGAGCACCAGCCAGGCCCUACGGGGGCGGAGGGAGGCCGUGGAGGCCAGCUCGCUAGAAGAACCUUCAUGGGCAGCAACGAAACUGUGACGAUUUUAUUGCAAAGGUUUUACUCUUGUUUUCCACAGGGGACUGGAAAAUUAUUACAAUGGCCAUUUCGGGAUGAUUCUGGGGUGAGUCACCGGUCCGCCCAGGAAGCAACACUGACCAGGACUGCUGUUCCCAUGCUGUCACCAUCACGGCAUUAUUGGAAGGCCCACAUUCUAAAGCCCUCUUUUUCAAGGUCCCUUUACCCAGGCUCGGCAGGUAACAUUUCACCAAGUUAAUGAUUUCGUUUCUGAGUCACUAAGCAUACAGAGUUUUACCUGAGUCACCCGGGGCACAUACCUGAGACAGCAGCUGCAGGCUUCUGGGAAUGUUGGGGAAAACCUGAUUUGCAACUGACUACCCAGCACAGAUUUAAAGCUAGCACAGGACAGAGAGCCUGGGAACAGGACUCUUAUGUUCCAUAAGAACAGCUCCUUGUUCUUUCAUCGAGUGGAACCUGCUCCAGGUCGGCAUGGAACAAUGCCGUGAAUGCUAUUCAACUGUCGUCUCAGACAUUGCUGGGGGAUGGGACGGGAAAGGAAUGCUAUACUGAUACCAUCUGUGGGUGGGACUGUUCAUCAGAUUCUAGCCUUUUUUGUCUUCCCUUUUGCUGGAUAGCCCGACACAAAAAUCCAGCCCGGAGUUUUCCAAGGCUUGUUUCUGCACGCCUCUAAUGAUUUCUAUGGGGAGUUACUAUACUUGAUCAACACUGCAAUUCUGGAAAGUCAGAUUAUACUAAUUUAAGGAAGUGGGAUCCCUUGCACAAGGGGCCGGAGACCGAAGCUUGCUUUUGCCAAGUUAACAUCACGGUAUACACCCAAUGAGAAAACGAAGAUUUCUGUACAUCUUUAUGAAUUUUAGAGGCGUUUAUAAGCCGUGUUCCUUAAUGCAGUUCUGCCAAGACUGAUACAGAUGGAUUUCAGAACUUUUCAGACUGUCCUGUACACAGGAAGCACCUGGGGAGAGCUUGUUAAAAUGUAGACUCCGGGCCCCACCAGCAGAGAGUCUGUUCUGCAGAACAGAGGUGGGGCCUGAGCGUGGGCAGCUCUAACUUGCAUCCUAGUGAAGCUGGAGCUGCUGUCUGGGGGCCACGCUGGAGUCACAUGGCUGGAGGACCGCUCUGGGCUGGUCACCGAAUCCCUCUGGGCCUCAGCCAUCUCCCUGAGAACGGACGGAACCGCUGACAUCCAGUGGCAGCUUAUUAAUCCCUGGGCACUGUACUCAACCCUCUGCACACAC